This 472-nucleotide ribosomal RNA is filed under the name uncultured bacterium. RNAcentral describes it as "bacterial SSU rRNA". It matches the Rfam family "Bacterial small subunit ribosomal RNA", at positions 355 to 825 of the family's 1533-position model. The record is from RNAcentral.
UCGGGAAUUUUGGGCAAUGGGCGAAAGCCUGACCCAGCAACGCCGCGUGAGUGAAGAAGGCCUUCGGGUUGUAAAGCUCUUUUGUCAGGGAAGAAACGGUAGUAGCGAAUAACUAUUACUAAUGACGGUACCUGAAGAAUAAGCACCGGCUAACUACGUGCCAGCAGCCGCGGUAAUACGUAGGGUGCAAGCGUUAAUCGGAAUUACUGGGCGUAAAGCGUGCGCAGGCGGUUGUGUAAGUCAGAUGUGAAAUCCCCGGGCUCAACCUGGGAAUUGCAUUUGAGACUGCACGGCUAGAGUGUGUCAGAGGGGGGUAGAAUUCCACGUGUAGCAGUGAAAUGCGUAGAUAUGUGGAGGAAUACCGAUGGCGAAGGCAGCCCCCUGGGAUAACACUGACGCUCAUGCACGAAAGCGUGGGGAGCAAACAGGAUUAGAUACCCUUGUAGUCCCUGAGCGGGCUGGCAAGGCGCAU